GUUUUGGGUAUCACCUUUCUCUUUAAAGUUAUCUACCUUCUUCUUAUUCAGUUCCCAGUUCCAAUGAUACGAUUGAAUUCCCAGGCAAAGGUUUCCACUUUGAUCCACACUUUCUCUUUGUUACAAUUGAAUAAAUCUUCUCACUUCAAAAUUUUCAUCUUUAGUUCACACUUUGCUUCUAUCCUUUCUCAUCGUUCGGUUGGGUUUGAGUGCUGCCAUAUGCAAACACAACAAAAGGGUUAGCGACGGUGGUAGCCAGCCAAAGAGCAUAUGAAAAAUAGCAGUGACGAGGCAAAGGUUUCCACUUUGGUCCAUACUUUCUCUUGGUCCAAUUGUUGUUGCUACAAAGGGACAAAAGGCAAAACAGUCCACUCACAAGCGAAAGCGAAGACGAUGCAAAAAUUGCAAGUCAUUUGGACAUGAUAGACGAAAAUGUACUAAAGUGUGCACAGAUGCAUAUGAAACUCACAAUUAUGAUCAUGUUGGGGCACCCAAUAAUGUUGAGAAUGUAAAUUUGAAUCUGAUAGGAUCAUCCGAUGGCCUAUUGCAAUCAGAUU
This is a non-coding RNA of Coffea arabica (coffee), 557 nucleotides long. NCBI's taxonomy places the organism in Eukaryota, Viridiplantae, Streptophyta, Magnoliopsida, Gentianales, Rubiaceae. The record is from RefSeq and is a predicted model, not a curated record.